Long non-coding RNA from Salvia splendens (bonfire salvia), 216 nucleotides. RefSeq lists it as uncharacterized. The transcript has 4 exons. The record is from RefSeq and is a predicted model, not a curated record. NCBI's taxonomy places the organism in Eukaryota, Viridiplantae, Streptophyta, Magnoliopsida, Lamiales, Lamiaceae.
GUUGCUUGGAAACAUCACACUUGUAUGGUUUCAGCACUCAGCGUCAAUACAACAUUAAAGCAGCAUCCGCUCAUAUGGUCAGCAAUGUUCCUUCACCUAUUGGCGGAGUUCUUGUAAUUGGUGCAAAUACAAUUCAUUAUCAUAGCCAGUCUGCUUCAUGCCACUUGGGGUUGAACAAUUUUGCUGUUCCCGCAGAUGGAAGUCAAGAGAUGCCUA